Long non-coding RNA from Ornithodoros turicata, 417 nucleotides. RefSeq lists it as uncharacterized. Lineage: Eukaryota; Metazoa; Arthropoda; Arachnida; Ixodida; Argasidae. The transcript has 3 exons. The record is from RefSeq and is a predicted model, not a curated record.
GAUCUAAGAACAUGCGUAUAGGACAUAUGAUGUGCUUCCUAUGCGUAUGUACUUGUCAAUGUGGUGUUACUUGUACGAUGUCGUGAUUGUUGAACAUGUUUUACGUGUUCUUGACGCCUGCCUAAUUUGUUCGGUUCCAAUCUGUUCCAGCAGAGAUGGUCACUUCUGGGCACACCAUCCUUCCUGGCCAAGUCGCGUGGAAAGGCAUCCAAGACACACUUGGCCUUGGAUCACUUGCUGAAAGAAGACCCGCGAGGGGGCAUCUAUUUUGCACGGUUUCUCGUGACACAAAGAGUAUACUGUGUAUCAGCCCUGCAGGGGCAGCAAGCUGAAGAACAGAGCCACAACCUACGAAGAAGUUCUGGGGAUUGUUUCGAAAACAGCAGAAGUAUUCAACAGACUUCACAGAUUUUCCAC